UACGAAGGGGGCGAGCGUUGUUCGGAUUUACUGGGCGUAAAGGGCGCGCAGGCGGCGCAUUUUGUCAGGCGUGAAAGCCCCGGGCUUAACCUGGGAACUGCGUUUGAUACGGAUGGGCUAGAGUUCGGGAGAGGAGAGUGGAAUUCCCAGUGUAGAGGUGAAAUGCGUAGAUAUCUGGAGGAACACCGGUGGCGAAGGCGGCAUCCUGGACCGAUAUUGACGCUGAUGCGCGAAAGCCAGGGGAGCAAACGGG
This 253-nucleotide ribosomal RNA is filed under the name uncultured bacterium. Its description in RNAcentral is "partial 16S ribosomal RNA". It matches the Rfam family "Bacterial small subunit ribosomal RNA", at positions 524 to 776 of the family's 1533-position model. The record is from RNAcentral.